Molecule: ribosomal RNA, 427 nt
Filed under: uncultured bacterium
Lineage: Bacteria
Description: bacterial SSU rRNA
Rfam family: Bacterial small subunit ribosomal RNA
Source: RNAcentral
UCGAGAAUUUUUCACAAUGGGGGAAACCCUGAUGGAGCGACGCCGCGUGGGGGAUGAAUGGCUUCGGCCCGUAAACCCCUGUCAUUCGGGAUCAAUGCCUGCAGAUUAAUACCUUGCAGGUUGAUAGUACCGGAAGAGGAAGGGACGGCUAACUCUGUGCCAGCAGCCGCGGUAAUACAGAGGUCCCAAGCGUUGUUCGGAUUCACUGGGCGUAAAGGGUGCGUAGGUGGUCGGGUAAGUUUGAUGUGAAAUCUCCGGGCUUAACCCGGAAAUGGCAUUGAAUACUAUUCGGCUUGAGAGUUGGAGGGGGGACUGGAAUUCUCGGUGUAGCAGUGAAAUGCGUAGAUAUCGAGAGGAACACCAGUGGCGAAGGCGAGUCCCUGGACAACUUCUGACACUGAGGCACGAAAGCUAGGGGAGCAAACAG